GGGGCCUUAGCUCAGCUGGGAGAGCACCCGCUUUGCAAGCGGGGGGUCAUCGGUUCGAGUCCGAUAGGCUCCACCA
RNAcentral lists this transfer RNA (76 nucleotides) under Trueperaceae bacterium. Its description in RNAcentral is "tRNA-Ala". It matches the Rfam family "tRNA". From Rfam's summary of the family: Transfer RNA (tRNA) molecules are approximately 80 nucleotides in length. Their secondary structure includes four short double-helical elements and three loops (D, anti-codon, and T loops). Further hydrogen bonds mediate the characteristic L-shaped molecular structure. tRNAs have two regions of fundamental functional importance: the anti-codon, which is responsible for specific mRNA codon recognition, and the 3' end, to which the tRNAs corresponding amino acid is attached (by aminoacyl-tRNA synthetases). tRNAs cope with the degeneracy of the genetic code in two manners: having more than one tRNA (with a specific anti-codon) for a particular amino acid; and 'wobble' base-pairing, i.e. permitting non-standard base-pairing at the 3rd anti-codon position. The record is from RNAcentral. Lineage: Bacteria; Thermotogati; Deinococcota; Deinococci; Trueperales; Trueperaceae.